GGUUAAGCGAACAAGCGUACACGGUGGAUGCCCUGGCAGUCAGAGGCGAUGAAGGACGUGCUAAUCUGCGAAAAGCGCCGGUAAGGUGAUAUGAACCGUUAUAACCGGCGAUGUCCGAAUGGGGAAACCCGGUGCACUUCGGUGCAUCAUCGUUAGCUGAAUACAUAGGCUAACGAGGCGAACCGGGGGAACUGAAACAUCUAAGUACCCCGAGGAAAAGAAAUCAACCGAGAUUCCCCCAGUAGCGGCGAGCGAACGGGGAACAGCCCAGAGCCUGAAUCAGCUUGUGUGUCAGUGGAACGGUCUGGAAAGGCCGGCGAUACAGGGUGACAGCCCCGUACACGAAGGCACACAGGCUGUGAGCUCGAUGAGUAGGGCGGGACACGUGAUAUCCUGUCUGAAGAUGGGGGGACCAUCCUCCAAGGCUAAAUACUCCUGACUGACCGAUAGUGAACCAGUACCGUGAGGGAAAGGCGAAAAGAACCCCGGCGAGGGGAGUGAAACAGAACCUGAAACCGUGUACGUACAAGCAGUGGGAGCCUUCGUAAGAGGGUGACUGCGUACCUUUUGUAUAAUGGGUCAGCGACUUAUAUUCUGUAGCAAGGUUAACCGUAUAGGGGAGCCGAAGGGAAACCGAGUCUUAACCGGGCGUUAAGUUGCAGGGUAUAGACCCGAAACCCGGUGAUCUAGCCAUGGGCAGGUUGAAGGUUGGGUAACACUAACUGGAGGACCGAACCGACUAAUGUUGAAAAAUUAGCGGAUGACCUGUGGCUGGGGGUGAAAGGCCAAUCAAACCGGGAGAUAGCUGGUUCUCCCCGAAAGCUAUUUAGGUAGCGCCUCGUGAACUCAUCUCCGGGGGUAGAGCACUGUUUCGGCUAGGGGGCCAUCCCGGCUUACCAACCCGAUGCAAACUGCGAAUACCGGAGAAUGUUAUCACGGGAGACACACGGCGGGUGCUAACGUCCGUCGUGAAGAGGGAAACAACCCAGACCGCCAGCUAAGGUCCCAAAGUCAUGGUUAAGUGGGAAACGAUGUGGGAAGGCACAGACAGCCAGGAUGUUGGCUUAGAAGCAGCCAUCAUUUAAAGAAAGCGUAAUAGCUCACUGGUCGAGUCGGCCUGCGCGGAAGAUGUA
RNAcentral lists this ribosomal RNA (1133 nucleotides) under Leptospira borgpetersenii serovar Balcanica. Its description in RNAcentral is "partial 23S ribosomal RNA". It matches the Rfam family "Bacterial large subunit ribosomal RNA", at positions 1 to 1174 of the family's 2925-position model. The record is from RNAcentral. Lineage: Bacteria; Pseudomonadati; Spirochaetota; Leptospiria; Leptospirales; Leptospiraceae.